This 480-nucleotide ribosomal RNA is filed under the name uncultured bacterium. RNAcentral describes it as "bacterial SSU rRNA". It matches the Rfam family "Bacterial small subunit ribosomal RNA", at positions 1 to 525 of the family's 1533-position model. The record is from RNAcentral.
GGCGAUUGGGGUUUGAUCAUGGCUCAGAGCGAACGCUGGCGGCAGGCUUAACACAUGCAAGUCGAACGGGCGUAGCAAUACGUCAGUGGCAGACGGGUGAGUAACGCGUGGGAACGUGCCUUUUGGUUCGGAACAACACAGGGAAACUUGUGCUAAUACCGGAUAAGCCCUUACGGGGAAAGAUUUAUCGCCGAAAGAUUGGCCCGCGUCUGAUUAGCUAGUUGGUGAGGUAACGGCUCACCAAGGCGACGAUCAGUAGCUGGUCUGAGAGGAUGAUCAGCCACAUUGGGACUGAGACACGGCCCAAACUCCUACGGGAGGCAGCAGUGGGGAAUAUUGGACAAUGGGCGCAAGCCUGAUCCAGCCAUGCCGCGUGAGUGAUGAAGGCCCUAGGGUUGUAAAGCUCUUUUGUGCGGGAAGAUAAUGACGGUACCGCAAGAAUAAGCCCCGGCUAACUUCGUGCCAGCAGCCGCGGUAAUA